Molecule: RNA transcript, 1647 nt
Organism: Poecile atricapillus (Black-capped chickadee)
Lineage: Eukaryota; Metazoa; Chordata; Aves; Passeriformes; Paridae
Gene: SLC35H1
Gene name: solute carrier family 35 member C2
Exons: 10
Source: RefSeq, a predicted model, not a curated record
UCCCCCGCCGCCACGGCCCGCUCGGGCCCGCCCUGCCCUGCCCUGCCCUGCCGCGGCCCCGGUAUCCCCCCGACCCCAUCCCCGCUCCCUCCCGCUCCGCGUUGCCCCGGCGCGGUGCCGGGCGCAUGGCGGCGGGGGCGGGCGGCGCGGCCCUGGGGCGGGCGGCGCUGGCGGCGCCGCUGGUGCUGCUCUACUACGGCUUCUCCAUCGGCAUCACCUUCUACAACAAGUGGCUGAUGAAGAGUUUCCCGUUCCCGCUGUUGGUCACGCUGCUGCACCUGCUGCUCAUCUUCGCUCUGGCGGCGCUCGGCCGUGCCCUGGCGCGGUGCCGCUCCGGGCGGCCGCGGGCAGCGCUGUCCUGGGCCGACUGCCUCCGCCGGGCCGCCCCCGCAGCUUUGUCAACUUCCUUGGAUAUUGGGCUGAGUAACUGGAGCUUCCUGUACGUCACUGUCUCCCUCUACACGAUGACCAAAUCCUCUGCCAUUCUCUUCAUCCUGCUUUUUUCACUGCUCUUCAAGCUGGAGGAAAUGAGGGUGACGUUGCUGCUGGUGGUUCUGCUCAUCGCUGGGGGACUCUUCAUGUUCACCUACAAGUCCACACAGUUCAAUGCCCAGGGGUUUGUGCUGGUGCUCUGUGCCUCUUUCCUGGGGGGCAUUCGCUGGACUCUCACACAGAUACUGAUGCAGAAGGCUGAGCUGGGGCUCCAGAAUCCCAUUGAUAUCAUGUUUCACCUGCAGCCGCUCAUGUUCCUGGGGCUCUUCCCACUCUUUGCGGUGUUUGAGGGCCUGCCUUUGUCCAUAUCCGAGAAGCUCUUCCGUUUCCAUGAAGCAGGAAUGCUGUUCUCUCUGGUAGGGAAGCUGUUCUUGGGUGGAAUUCUUGCCUUUGGUCUAGGCUUUUCUGAGUUCCUCUUGGUUUCCAGAACAUCUAGCCUCACCCUUUCCAUUGCUGGCAUUUUUAAGGAAAUCUGUAUUUUAUUCCUCGCCACACAUUUACUGGGAGACCGCCUCAGUCUCUUGAACUGGCUGGGCUUUGCUGUCUGCUUGUCGGGAAUCUCUCUUCACGUUGUUCUCAAAGCCAGGAAUUCCAAAGGUGACAAAGCACUGGAGCCACAGAAAGAGGCCAGCUCUGACCCUGACCUGGAGCUGCUGCUGCGCCACCCUGAACAUGGUGAGGAAGAGGAAGAGGUGGCUGAAACCCCACAACAGAACUGACUGAACAUGAAGCACAAAGCCACCUGCUCUGUUCUAACCAAACCUGCCUGACAGCUAUCCAGGAUGAAGGUCCAAAAGUCUCUGUGACCACCCAGAGUAGAGCCAGGGCCUGGAACUUCCAUCCUGGUGGAUCAUAUGACUGAAUAAAUCCCUAGAGUUGUCCCAGUGAGAAGGACCAUUUGUGCCUGGGGACCUCCAUGUUCUGUGUGCAUAGUAAGGACAGAAUUAAAUGCUGGUAUUUGGGACCAAUUGAAAAUUAUGAACAUUUCCAGAUGAUGUUGGUUGGAGGGACGACAGGGAUACAUGAGUACUUCUGGUGCUACAGGCCAAGAGGAGAAUGAGCAGUGUCACAGGAGAUCUAACUUGAGCAAUAAACUUGCCAGAAAGUAUGUGGGAUUUUGAGGGGGGGGGGGUUUGUUUUUUAAAUAAACUCUUU